This 94-nucleotide transfer RNA is filed under the name Pseudomonadales bacterium. RNAcentral describes it as "tRNA-Sec". It matches the Rfam family "Selenocysteine transfer RNA". Lineage: Bacteria; Pseudomonadati; Pseudomonadota; Gammaproteobacteria; Pseudomonadales. The record is from RNAcentral.
GGUAGAGCGACGUCUCCGGUGGGGCGCGCGGCCUUCAAAGCCGUUGAGCUGCUGUUAAAGUGGCUGGUGGGUUCGACUCCUACCUCUACCGCCA